Non-coding RNA from Paramuricea clavata, 1225 nucleotides. The record is from the annotation of a GenBank genome assembly. NCBI's taxonomy places the organism in Eukaryota, Metazoa, Cnidaria, Anthozoa, Malacalcyonacea, Plexauridae.
CAAACUUCACAGGGCUAUAUUUUCCUCAUUGUACAACAAUUCGCGACCAAACUUUGCAAUUUUACUCAUCCUAAGAUGCGCUUUCCAGCUAUGGUAAUGGUUUCGUUCUUCUUGUCUAGAUCAAAAUUGGGUCAUCAUCUAGCUAUACUAUACUAUCCAGGCUCGUGGUUGGUUGAUUAUAACAAUGAAGAAAACUAUAGAAAUCGUCUUUCUAAAGAACAAGUCACAAACAAUGAUCAUUUUUGUUUUGAACGCUAAUCACAAAACAUGAUCAUUUUAGACAAAAUUUUGAGGGUUAAAAGACCUACCUAGAGCUGGAAUCAAAGUUAGAGCAAAUUACAUGUAAAGUACAAACAAAAUACUGUACAUAAAGUAAAUAUGGCAAAGCUCAAAACAUCGUACAUCGCAUACUACACAUAAUAAAUUAAACUAGAAAGUUAUUAAACAGUUUGAUUUGAGUUUUAAACCCAAGUGAUUGUGAAAAUUCAAAUGUGAUUGUAGUUGCGUGAACAAGUAACAUGACAUUUGACCUUUCCUAAGUGGAUUUUGACACAUUUUUAUACUGUCAGCCUAUCAUAUUAAAACAUUAAAUCAAAGCACAGCUUGAGGCCAUUAGGAAACGAAACAGAAUUCUAUUGUCUAUUCAGAAAUAUCAGCGCAAAUGAGAGAAUGUUUCACCCUAAAAUACACAAAGAAUUGUUUGAAAACAAAUGUUUCCAAUGUUAUCCGUUUCACUUUUUCACAUGUGAAAUCUUCUCAGGUUGAAUAGUGAUUUUUUUUUAUAUUACUGUAUAGCAAAAUGAGUAGCGAAAUCCCAAAAACGGAUAGCGAAUCGCGAUUCGCUAUCUGUUAAUUCGAACCCUGUGUUGAUACUCCUAAAACAUGUUUGCUUUUUAUGAUCAUGAAAGAUAUACUCAACUCAGGAUUUAACAUAUGAAUAGAAGUAAAAAUUAACGACGAUAUAGCUAGAAAUAGAUCAUUGAUUUUAUCAAUCUUCCCAAAAGCAUCAAGUAUAUACAGUAUUAUUAUUCUAAAAUUAUAGUUUUACGAUAGAUAAAAUUAUUUCUGUACUAGUAUAUUUUAGUGUCUGGUGACAUUGUACCCGCGCGUCACUGUUUAGUUCAAAAUAUUUUCACUGACCCUAUAAUUAUCUUAAAAUUGGUAAUGUUCAAAAACUUAUCCAAAGUACAAUCAAUGUUUUCUUAAUUCAAACAACCAAACAUGC